This 86-nucleotide non-coding RNA is filed under the name Deltaproteobacteria bacterium. RNAcentral describes it as "c-di-GMP sequence". It matches the Rfam family "c-di-GMP-I riboswitch aptamer". From Rfam's summary of the family: GEMM was predicted in a large-scale screen for bacterial structured RNA regulatory elements. The record is from RNAcentral. Lineage: Bacteria; Pseudomonadati; Myxococcota; Myxococcia.
CACCGAUAAAGGCAAACUACGCCGAAAGGGUAGGACGCAAAGUCUCCGGCCUAAAGCCUGCGGGCUAGGGUAGCGGGAUUGCCGAA